Listeria fleischmannii subsp. coloradonensis is the source of this 104-nucleotide non-coding RNA. The record is from Rfam. NCBI's taxonomy places the organism in Bacteria, Bacillati, Bacillota, Bacilli, Caryophanales, Listeriaceae.
CGUGAAAUAAAUCACAAACAAAUACCCCCUUUAUUUGAUUGUGUGAAUUUCUCCUUUUGAUUGCGCUGAAAUACCCCCUUUAUUUGAUUGUGUGAAUUUCUCCU